This 1447-nucleotide long non-coding RNA is filed under the name Zonotrichia albicollis (white-throated sparrow). RNAcentral's name for it is "lncRNA (ENSZALG00000004903.1)". Lineage: Eukaryota; Metazoa; Chordata; Aves; Passeriformes; Passerellidae. The record is from RNAcentral.
GGGGGACAGGAAUUUCUAUUCCAGGUAAAAGGGGAGCAGAUUCCAUGUCUUGGACAGUCCCAGAGCAGAAGGGGAGCAGAUUCCAUGUCUUGGACAGUCGCAGAGCAGAAGGGGAGCAGGUUCCAAGUCCUGAACAGCCCUGGGGAGAAGGGGAGCUCCAUUCCCUGCACGUGGAGAGGCUCCUGAGCCAUUUCCUGCCGGGCCUGGGUUAUGUUGGUUCACUUUGGCUCCUGCCCUGGAUGCCACUUCCAUGACAUCACUUGGAGUGGAGGAGUUGCUCCAAGCGUGGCUGCAGCAGAUGUGAGGAUGUGUUUGGGGGAGCCUCUGCUGCCGAGCCCUUCCUGGAAUCCUGCAGAAGCCGAAAAGAGCAGGAAAUAUUUUUCUAAGGCAGCCGAAACGAGCCCUCCUUCAAUAAUAACCCAAGGGAUGGUGGAGUUGUCAAGCUGAGCUCAUAUCGAACUGGUUCUGCGGUGCUGGCUGGUGGCACUGGGGACACUGAGCCAGUCCCAGGUGUCCCCAGGAGGAGCACAGACCUGGCUGCCACCGAAGGACUUCACCGGGAAGGAAACCCGAGCUGCCGGGAGCCAGGGCUGCGGCUGGGAGGAGGAAAUUGCUGUUUCUGCUGAGCCGUGCAGAGAAAACAAAUCUCACCCCCAGGAGCCGCCUUCAAAGGGAGAAAUUCCUGCCCUGGGAGCUGCCCAGGGCUCAGCCCUGGCACCCACGGGCUGGGCAGAGCCUGGAGGGACUCAGGGGAGGGGUUGGAUGGGAGGGAUCCCAAAGCUCAUCCAGUUCCAUGUUCCAGGCUGCUCCAAGCCCUGUCCAGCCUGACCUUGGGGUCCAGGGGCAUCCACACUGCUCUGGGAAUCUCUUCUAAGGUCUCCCCACCCUCACUGGGGAGAAUUUAAACCUAAAUCCUCCUCCUGUGUCACCAGAGCCCUCCUGGGAUGAUGUUCCCUGGUCUCUCUUCAUUUUGAAAAAUCUCCUUUUUUUUUUUUUUUUGCUCCCACCAAAGCCUUUCCUGCUGCCUCUCUCCCUUUCCAUGGUUUUCCUCCUCUUGGAUUUUCAUGUUUUUCUGGAAAACCCCAGGCUCUGGAUGUUCCUCUGUGAGCAGCCCAGUGUCCACCCUGUUCCAUUCUGAUCCCAGCUCCUCUUUUAUUCCAGCUGUGGUGGGAUCCUGAGGAGAUCAUGGAAUUUUCUUGGCUCCCUGCUGGCACUUCCAGGGAUCCAGGAGCAGCCACAGUUUCUCUGGGAAUCUUUUCCAGAGCCUCCCCUCCCUCACUGGGGAAAAUUCAAACCUAAAUCCAACCUAAAUCCUUCUCCAGAGCCCCCCUGAGAUGAUGUUCCCUGCUCUCUCUUCAUUCUGAAAAAUCCUUCUCUCUUCAUUUUGAAAAAUCUCCAUUUUUUGCUCCCACCAAAGCCUUUCCUGCUGCCUCUCUCCCUUUCCAUG